Molecule: long non-coding RNA, 881 nt
Organism: Populus euphratica (Euphrates poplar)
Lineage: Eukaryota; Viridiplantae; Streptophyta; Magnoliopsida; Malpighiales; Salicaceae
Exons: 2
Source: RefSeq, a predicted model, not a curated record
UUCUCUACCAGACUCGCUCUUCAGUAUUUAAGCUUUGUUGACUCGGUACACUCCGAGUCCUUUAUUCAUACCUUGUCCACUUGCACCCUAGUACUCUACCCCAGGCAAGUAAAUUAUUCAUCGUACAGCAGCCAACGGCCAUGACCGGAGCUACCUUUCUGCAUCUAAUCACUAUGGCCGCCCCCCCCCCCCCCGCCACAACACAGGCUCCUCCCACUAAAUACAUCAACCACACCGUUGGUGAUAAUGCCGGCUGGUUCUUCAAUUCCACCACCAACGCCGCUGCCACUAACUAUUCCUCUUGGGCUGCCUCCCAAACCUUCAAUCUCGGCGACUAUCUUAUUUUCAAAACGAGCUCAAAUCAGACGGUGAUCUAGACCUACAAUCUGACAACAUUCAAAAACUGCUCAAUCGAUGACUCCUCCUAUAACGAUACCUUCGUCUACAAUGGAGGCAACAUGGUUUUUAAUCAAGCGUUGACCAUGAUUGUACCGUUGACUAUUCAAGGUCCGAAUUAUUUCUUCUCUGAUGCUAGUGAUGGCAUUCAAUGCCAGCAUGGAUUGGCCUUUGAUAUCAACGUUAGUCGUGGCCUUGGAUUGCCUCCCAGUCUUAAUCAGCCGCCCCCUCCACCGUACAGGGAGCCUCCAGGUCCCGACUCAGCUUAUCCGCCGAUCACUAUUCCGGCCGAGGGAGGGGGGGCAGGAAAUAGUGGAUUUAAAAACGGGGCCAGCGUGCAAGUGAUUGCGGGUGUGAGUUUAUUUGCUUUGCUGGCAGUCAAUGGUGGGGAUAGGGGUGGUAUUUUUUGAGUUGUUUGGUGUUGGAUUGGUAAUUGGAUACAUAUGUAACGGGGAUUUUUUAUUAUGUUUGGGUGUUGAUUUGAA